UGCUCUAUCAUGAGUCUGAAUGCCUGAAUACCACUUUCAAGCAAAAAAAAUUGCUGUUGAAUCUGUUUGUCCUUUAUUUUGGUAUGUUAAUCUAUUUUCCUUUCUUUGAACAGAAAAAGUAUCUUAAAUGCUUUAGUAAAAGCUGAACAUAUUUUAGUUUGGAUAUACUAGUGCACCAGGACAUAGAAUCAGAGAAUGAUAAUCAUAUCGGGAUUUGGGUUGAAAGGGACCUUAAAGAUUAUCUAGUUCUGACCCUGCUCAAUCCAGAUACUUCACACCCCAGUCCUUAUUAAUACAUUAGUAGUACAGAACCCCAAGCUUGACUUCAUCUAUUAAGUGGUAACAUCCUAGACACCCACACCUACAAAAGACUCCUCUAUCCCUGUAAUAAGGAGCUAGGGUGAGAAGUUGGUCCAACACAAGUCACCAUAUUCUGGAUCAGAAGCCAUUUUUUGUGGCCAUUGUCUGAAAGGCCUAAGUUCCAUUUCUGACAUCCCAGUAGGACCUGCUAAAAAUGGAUACAACAAGGAGAAAAAUUAAGAUAAGCAGAGUAAGAAUCUUACAAAAAUUUGUCUCAUAAUCUUCAGGAUGUACCACAAACAUGGACAUGCAUUCAGCAAGUAGUCAAACACAGAAGCAUGGACCAUGCUUGAAGAAGAGCAGCAAGGCCUGUCUUGCUAUCUGUGUUCCCCUUGGUUCUAGUAUAUGGAAUAUUUUAUGUGAUACAAGUCUUUCUGAGAUUUCUCUGGAGCAGCAGUGAUCCUCGUUGGCCCUCCUCUGGAGCAAAGCCUAACAAUGUGAACUUGUAGUUCCUGUUCAAACACUGCACGAUGAAUACCUGAAUACUCAGAACACCCCAAAAUAUAAUAACCAUAGACUUCAUAAAAGAUGUAUGA
This 896-nucleotide long non-coding RNA is filed under the name Parus major (Great Tit). RNAcentral describes it as "lncRNA (ENSPMJG00000002180.1)". Lineage: Eukaryota; Metazoa; Chordata; Aves; Passeriformes; Paridae. The record is from RNAcentral.